Molecule: ribosomal RNA, 2019 nt
Filed under: human gut metagenome
Description: bacterial LSU rRNA
Rfam family: Bacterial large subunit ribosomal RNA
Source: RNAcentral
UCAAGCUACAAAGAGCACAAGGGGAAUGCCUUGGCACCGAGAGCCGAAGAAGGACGUGACUAACUGCGAUAAGCUGCGGGGAGCCGUAAGUAGGCUUUGAUCCGCAGAUUUCCGAAUGGAGCAAUCCGGCAAGAGGAAAGUCUUGUCAUCAUAUACUGAAUACAUAGGUAUAUGAGGGGAACCGCCUGAACUGAAACAUCUAAGUAGGGCGAGGAAGAGAAAUCAACUGAGAUUCCGUAAGUAGUGGCGAGCGAACGCGGAAGAGGCCAAACCGAGAGUAGUAAUACUUUCGGGGUUCGGACAGAAAACGGUAUUGUAAAGGUUUAGUGGAAUGGAAUGGGAAGUCCAACCGAAGAAGGUGAGAGUCCUGUACACGAAAAGCCUGAACAGCCAUCUGUAUCCAGAGUACCGCCGGACACGUGAAACCCGGUGGGAAUACGGGGGGACCAUCCUCCAAGCCUAAAUACUACUCGGUGACCGAUAGUGAAGAAGUACUGUGAAGGAAAGGUGAAAAGUACCCCUGACGGGGAGUGAAAAAGAACCUGAAACCUUGUGUUUACAAGCACCGAAAGCUCAUCAAAGAGCGAUCGGGUACCUUUUGUAGAAUGGUCCGGCGAGUGAAUGUAACCGGCGAGGUUAAGCACUUAAGGUGUGAAGCCGCAGCGAGAGCAAGUCUGAAUAGGGCGUAUGAAGUCGGUUGUAUUCGACCCGAAACCGGGUGACCUACCCAUGGUCAGGUUGAAGUAAAGGUAAAACUUUAUGGAGGACCGAACCGACUCCCGUUGAAAUGGUAGCGGAUGAACUGUGGGUAGCGGAGAAAUUCCAAUCGAACCCGGAGAUAGCUGGUUCUCUCCGAAAUAGCUUUAGGGCUAGCCUUGAAAUAGAUUACCGGAGGUAAAGCACUGAAUUGGCUAGGGGCCGAGAGGUUACUGAACCUUAUCAAACUAAGAAUGCCGGAUAAUCGUUUUUCAGGAGUCAGACAGUGGGAGAUAAGUUUCAUUGUCAAAAGGGAAACAGCCCAGACCCACAGCUAAGGUCCCCAAGUAUAGUUAAGUGGAAAAGGAUGUGGAAUUGCACAGACAACCAGGAUGUUGGCUUAGAAGCAGCCACUCAUUAAAAGAGUGCGUAAUAGCUCACUGGUCGAGUGACUCUGCGCCGAAAAUUUAACGGGGCUAAACUAUACACCGAAGCUUGGGAUACAUCUAAUGUAUGGUAGGAGAGCGUUCUGUAAGGGGUGAAGUCGUAGCGAAAGCGGCGGUGGACUUUACAGAAGUGAGAAUGCCGGAAUAAGUAGCGAGAAUUAAGUGAGAAUCUUAAUGGCCGAAAGUCUAAGGUUUUUGGAGGAAGGUUCGUCCGCUCCAAGUAAGUCGGGAGCUAAGGUCAGGCCGAAAGGCGUAGCCGAUGCACAUACGGUUGAUAUUCCGUAACCAUCUGUAAUUUAAGCAAAGGGACACUUCAAAAGGGUGUGACCCGGGCGUUGGUUGACCCGGGCGUAAGGGACCGAAAUUAGAGUAGGGAAGCACACUUAGCUGAAGGCGAGAAAAGCUUUGCGUAUAGAAGCAGAUGCCCGUACCGCAAACCGACACAGGUGGACAGGAAGAGAAUUCUAAGGCCAGCGGGAGAAGGGUAGUUAAGGAACUCGGCAAAUUGACUCCGUAACUUCGGAAUAAGGAGUGCUCGAAAGAGCCGCAGAGAAUAGGCCCAGGCGACUGUUUAGCAAAAACACAGGUCUCUGCCAAAUCGAAAGAUGAAGUAUAGGGGCUGACACCUGCCCGGUGCCGGAAGGUUAAGAGGAGGAGUGAGAGCUCCGAAUUGAAGCCCCGGUAAACGGCGGCCGUAACUAUAACGGUCCUAAGGUAGCGAAAUUCCUUGUCGGGUAAGUUCCGACCCGCACGAAUGGUGUAACGAUCUGGGCACUGUCUCAACUACCCACCCGGCGAAAUUGUAGUACCGGUGAAGAUGCCGGUUACCUGCGGCAAGACGGAAAGACCCCAUGGAGCUUUACUGUAGCCUGAUAUU